Molecule: non-coding RNA, 207 nt
Organism: Pelobates cultripes (western spadefoot toad)
Lineage: Eukaryota; Metazoa; Chordata; Amphibia; Anura; Pelobatidae
Source: the annotation of a GenBank genome assembly
CCUACGGCAGUGCAGUGUAUUAACCCCUACAGUGCGAUAUAAGUGGGGACAUGUGAGGGUACGGCACAAUAAAAUCAAUUUUUAAAUGGUACUACAUCAUUUCAAAGUAGAUGUCAAAGCAUGCAUGAACAUGCUAGGGACAUCAAGGGGUGAUGAUGUUGCAUUGAACAUGAAAGUGUUUGUCGUACUUACCUUUGCUGCAGUACU